This 591-nucleotide ribosomal RNA is filed under the name uncultured bacterium. RNAcentral's name for it is "partial 16S ribosomal RNA". It matches the Rfam family "Bacterial small subunit ribosomal RNA", at positions 789 to 1379 of the family's 1533-position model. The record is from RNAcentral.
GGUAGUNCACGCCGUAAACGAUGAGUGCUAGGUGUUGGGUCCUUUCCGGGAUUCAGUGCCGCAGCUAACGCAUUAAGCACUCCGCCUGGGGAGUACGACCGCAAGGUUGAAACUCAAAGGAAUUGACGGGGGCCCGCACAAGCGGUGGAGCAUGUGGUUUAAUUCGAAGCAACGCGAAGAACCUUACCAGGUCUUGACAUCCCGAUGCUAUUUCUAGAGAUAGGAAGUUACUUCGGUACAUCGGUGACAGGUGGUGCAUGGUUGUCGUCAGCUCGUGUCGUGAGAUGNNNNNNNNNNNNNNNGCAACGAGCGCAACCCCUAUUGUUAGUUGCCAUCAUUCAGUUGGGCACUCUAGCGAGACUGCCGGUAAUAAACCGGAGGAAGGUGGGGAUGACGUCAAAUCAUCAUGCCCCUUAUGACCUGGGCUACACACGUGCUACAAUGGUUGGUACAACGAGUUGCGAGUCGGUGACGGCGAGCUAAUCUCUUAAAGCCAAUCUCAGUUCGGAUUGUAGGCUGCAACUCGCCUACAUGAAGUCGGAAUCGCUAGUAAUCGCGGAUCAGCACGCCGCGGUGAAUACGUUCCCGGGC